This 163-nucleotide ribosomal RNA is filed under the name uncultured bacterium. RNAcentral describes it as "partial 16S ribosomal RNA". It matches the Rfam family "Bacterial small subunit ribosomal RNA", at positions 393 to 539 of the family's 1533-position model. The record is from RNAcentral.
AACGCCGCGUGAGGGAUGAAGCUCCAAGGAGUGUAAACCUCUUUCGGAAGGGAAGAACCCUUUUCAGAUGAAUAAUCUGGAGAGCUGACGGUACCUUCUAAAGAAGCCCCGGCUAACUCCGUGCCAGCAACUGCGGUGACUGAGCGGGCUGGCAAGGCGCAUA